Molecule: long non-coding RNA, 33966 nt
Filed under: Triticum aestivum (bread wheat)
Lineage: Eukaryota; Viridiplantae; Streptophyta; Magnoliopsida; Poales; Poaceae
Description: long non-coding RNA (TAES_LNC013206)
Rfam family: MIR1120/MIR1122 microRNA precursor family (bases 4216-4339)
Source: RNAcentral
UUUUUUUUCCUUUCAGCAAGUAGCACCGGAUACAAGUGAUUUCGAAUCACAUUUGCAGCCUUAUGCAGACGUGUAUUUCGAGUCUAAGCUUAAGGAGAAAAAGGUAUGUGACUUGUGCAUAUUCAUGGUAGCCCCGACCCCAAGGUGUGAUUGUACCUUUGCUUUUAGCAGCACCUCAAGGAUGGGGGAUAAAGAGAGACUGGAAUGUAGAAUUGCAGAUUUUUUGGGUUUCUUGCUUGCUUAAACCGAGGAUAAUACAGCCUUACUAGGAGAGACUUUAACACAAGUAGUCAUGUCCUUCUUAACGUGGCUUAGUUUCUAACUACCAAAUUUGAUAAUAACAAUCUAUCUGGAAAUGGCCGAAACUCAAGAGACAACUAUCGUCUGGAAAUGGCCUAAACUCCUCAAGAGGUAACUAUCUUUAGAUGAGCUGAUAUGCUGGCUGGUGUACCUCCAAGGACUGUUACACCCAUGAGGAGCUGUGGUUUCCAUUUCCUUGGUGGAAUGUCCCUUCAAAAAUUCCUAGCCGAUAACCAUCACUUGCAUGUCAACACCCUAUGAAAUCCAUCUAGAAUCUAGUUAAAAGAUGGUUUCAUAUUAAUCAAGUUCUUCUGUCAAAAGAACCAUUCUUCAUAAGGACUAGUUUGCUCUUUUUCCUCCAUUCCGGCUGCAUUGUUACAAGAAUAAUUUCCGUCAUAAAGUAUCAUGAUGCAUCCCUUGUUUGUGUUUUCGUUUUUGACUGUGUAAUCUGAGAUAGCAUAGUUCAAUAUUCUCAAACUGGUUCAAAUCCUGCACCUAGGUCGGUGGUGGUUGCUUAUGCAAACCAUAAACCCAUGAAAAAUAGAAAUUUGACCGAGGUGGUCUUCUUAAAUUUUUAAUCAAAAUUGUUUCUUUUUCAGUAUUAUUUCGCAAUUGAGCAAAUACACUUGCGUAAAAAGUUCGACAGACAUUUGGCUUCUGGUGUGCUAGAUGGCCGUAUGGAUGUGUUUAGAUCUUCGAAGGUAAUCGUCCGCGCCCUAAAUGUAGCACAAUGCAGUUCUACACAUUUUUAAAAAUUUUUUUUAACGAAAAUGCUGAUGGAGNNNNNNNNNNNNNNNNNNNNNNNNNNNNNNNNNNNNNNNNNNNNNNNNNNNNNNNNNNNNNNNNNNNNNNNNNNNNNNNNNNNNNNNNNNNNNNNNNNNNNNNNNNNNNNNNNNNNNNNNNNNNNNNNNNNNNNNNNNNNNNNNNNNNNNNNNNNNNNNNNNNNNNNNNNNNNNNNNNNNNNNNNNNNNNNNNNNNNNNNNNNNNNNNNNNNNNNNNNNNNNNNNNNNNNNNNNNNNNNNNNNNNNNNNNNNNNNNNNNNNNNNNNNNNNNNNNNNNNNNNNNNNNNNNNNNNNNNNNNNNNNNNNNNNNNNNNNNNNNNNNNNNNNNNNNNNNNNNNNNNNNNNNNNNNNNNNNNNNNNNNNNNNNNNNNNNNNNNNNNNNNNNNNNNNNNNNNNNNNNNNNNNNNNNNNNNNNNNNNNNNNNNNNNNNNNNNNNNNNNNNNNNNNNNNNNNNNNNNNNNNNNAGCAGUUUUAUAUGUGCAGUCCUCCACUAGGUGGACAUGCCUCCUCUUUCGCCUGAACUAAGCUUUCCUAGUCUGGUUCUCUUGGUCCGUUGAGGAGGGAGAUGGCCUUGCCUCGUCCCGCUCUCUGCCAUACCGCUGCUUCUUCAAUCAUCCGUUCCACCACCGUCGUCUGCGGCGAUGGUUGGUUUCUGAAAAUCCUUGCGUUGCGUUCGUUCCAUAUCGACCACCAGACCAGCUGCACGAGUGCGCUCCAUGGCUUCUUUGCUGAUGCCGUAAGGAUGCCAUUGGACUGGUCGAUCCAACGCAUCAGGGAGGUUGUGGUGGUGGAGGGAGCGAGGCCUGGAUGAAGGUUGCAGCGAGCAAUGAUGUCGUGCCAAAUUCGGAUGGAGACGGGACAGGAAGCAAGCAGGUGCACGACAUCUUCCAUUGGCCCAUUGCAGAGAGAGCAAGACGGAUUGUGAGGCCAGCCUUUCCUCGCAAGAACAUCGGACGUGUUGCAGCGUCCCAGCAGAGCCAACCAUGCAAAAAGCUUGCAUUUGCCCGGUGCAUCCGAUUUCCAAAGGAACGCAGCCCACGAAGGCCGAGUGCAGCCCUCAAACUGAAUUUUGUAAGCCGAUCUCGCCGUGUAUAUGCCGUUUGCUGUCCAUUUCCACUGAACUCGAUCGGGCUCUUGUGUUAACUGAAUAUUUUGUGUUUCCUCCCACAGAUUCAGGAACUCCCUCGUCGCCUGUGCAGAGAGGUUGGCUUUGAGGUGUCGGAUCCAUCUGUUGUUCUCCAAUGCUUGUGCAACGGUGAGGUUUUUCCUGGUGCAAUGCUGGAAUAGUGCUGGGAAGGCGUCGUGGAGGGUGAUGCCCUUACACCACGGCUCCUUCCAAAAGAGAAUGCGGUCACCCUUGCCCAGCUGGAAGUGAACAGAUGCGUUGAACAGGGAUCUGACCGUGUGGUCGAUAGGCAAAUCCAGCCCCUGCCAUGCCUUGUUGCCGUCGGUCCAUGAUGCCGAGCCCUCCGAGAUCCUUUGGCCGACAAACAGAACCCCAGUUGACCAGGCAUUUUCCUCCAGCCGCUACUUCACUGCCCUCCCAAAGGAAUCCACGACGAACCUUGUCGAUCAGCUUAGCCAGCCAAGCAGGUAAUAUCAAGGCUAGCAUUUGGAAGAUCGGCAUCGCCGAGAGCACGGUCCUUACCAAGUCCAGCCGACCAUCAAGGGAAAGAAAUGCAGGCUUCCAGCCCUUCAUCCUUGCAAUGAGCUUGUCGCAGAUCGGCUGUAGGUCAUUCUUCUUCAGUUUCUUGUCCGACAGUGGCAUGCCCAGGUAGGUGCAUGGAAAUUCGUUGAUGGGGCAGCCCAAGUCUUGUAGAAGUUCAUGGAGGUCGAUCCCGUCGCAGCAGAUAGUGGAGACCGAAGAUUUUGCAAAAUUAGUGUGCAGACCCGUAGCUUCUCCGAACAGCUUCAGAAUUUUUGUCAGAGCAAGUACUUCCUUGCGGCAUGGGUUGAUGAACAAGAUUGCGUCGUCUGCAUACAGAGAAGUCCGGAAGGGUAGUUUGUGGUUGCCGAUCGGUCCCAAAAUUCCGGCCCUUACCGCCUUGUCGAUGAGCAUAGCAAGGCAGUCCAUGACCAGCACGAACAGGAGCGGUGACAAUGGGUCUCCCUGCCUUAGUCCCUUCACCAGGUUGAUCGGGUCGGAUAGAUCACCAUUGACAAGGAUCCUUGUCGAAGAGGAGCUGAGAAGUGCUGACAGACAGUUGGUGAAUCCUCUCCCAAACCCUCCCGCAGCAAGCAGCUCAAGCAGGAACUCCCAUGAGACAGUAUCUUUGUAAAGGAUCUUGUUCAGAACGAGAUGGCGAGAAUGCAGCUUUCAGAUUUGCACCAUGAACUCAUAAAGUUAUCUUUGGAGGUACUAAUUGUUCAUUUUACAGUUCAUGGCUUUUUUACUUUUUUAAUAUUGCAUUAACAAGUUGCUCCUCUUUAUAGCGGAGAGAUGAGCUUGUGAAAAUCCAGCAUCAAGUUAUCACAUAUUCUGAGCGGAGAGAUGAGACAGUAAACGAGGAGAUCACAUUGGCGGCAUACAUACUGUGGAACUUAUGGAAGGAGCGAAACAAAAGAAUUUUCGAGCUGAAGGAAUUAUCAGCUAUUGCUCUUAUGGGCCUAAUUCAAGAGGACCUUAGAUGCUUCAGGGAAGCCUGGAGGGAGAGAGUGUGAGUGUUCUUUGUCGCUUUGUUUUAGUGUGUAUGAGUGGCUUUCAGUACGCUGAUGUAGGAAUGUCAAAACUCGGACUUUCCCCAAAGGGGAAUCCGUUCUGUACCCUUUUUCUUCCCCUACUAUAAUGCAAAGGCAGAGCUCCUGCCAUUCACGUCAAAAAGAAGCCUCUUAAAGAAUGAGCCGGUAUGCAAAAUAAUAUUUCAUGCAAUUUAUGGUGACGUGUUGUUAAAACAACUUUACUUACUAUUUUCAAUUGAAAAUCUUGUUCUUGUACUUUAAGUCGCUAUCUUGUUCGUCAUAUAUGGUUAUAUAUUUUACAAAUGAUGGAAGAUCAUAUACCUUCAAUCAUGUACUCAUAGUCUGCACCUUCCAGUUUUUGUUGUGAAGGUCCAAAUGUCUGGUACGAGAGGAGAGGUCUUGACGUACCAUCAUCACCAGCUCCCCAUUACCGAAAAAGGCUUUAGCCUCGCUUUAUAUACUCCCUCCGUCCCAAAAUUCUUGUCUUAAAUUUAUCUAGAUACGGAUAAAUCUAAUACUGAAACAUGACUUGAUACAUCCGUAUUUAGACAAGAAUUUUGGGACGGAGGGAGUAUAAAGCAACCGCCCAAGCCAAACAUCCAACAAGGUUCACACACACACACAAGUCUCACAAACACACAUAGUAGCAAAUAGGGUUAAUGCUGAGGGCACAACUCAACAAGCCCUGAAAACAAAACAACACACUCACACACAGCAACCCGAGCAGCAUGUCUAAUCGGGCUGCGGAGGAGGGGGCGGCAGCGGGGGCGCCACGCGGAAGGCCAUCGAGCGAAGGUCGGUGAGGAGGGUGUUGAUGGCGUCCCGGUCCUGGGGGUGGCUAAGCAGCCGCCAGAGCUGCAAGUAACCACACAUUUUGAAGAUCGCGUCAGUUGCACGUCGGAGAGGCACUUUCUGAAUAACAAGCUUUUUGCGGAUGGUCCAAAGCGUCCAGGCGAGGACCCCAACGCACAACCAUCUAAUAUGGCGGUAGCGAGGGGGGGAGGCGUGGAUCUCCGCAAGCAAGUCUGGGAAGUUGGUGUUGCACCACUAUCCACCGACCGUCUCGCGGAAGCAGGACCACAGGAACUGGGCUGUGGAGCAAGAGAAGAUGUGGUUAGCAUCCUCCACCGUGCCACACAGGGGACAAAUCCCAUCUCCUGGUCCAUUACGCUUGAGGACCUCUACCCCAGAGGGAAGGCGUCCCCGGAUCCACUGCCACAGGAAGAUCCUGAUCUUCAGAUGCAGGCGAAUGUCCCAGAUCAGGCUAAAGGGCUCAAGGGCCGACGAGGGGGCGAUGGCCGUGUAUAAGGACUUAGUGGAGAAGCGGCCGAAGGGCUCCAGUCGCCAAGAGAUGGAGUCAGGGGCGCCCUCGACGUCCAUCGGAAGAAGGGCGAUGUCCUGGAGGAGGGAGUCCCAAGCGGCCACCUCAAGGGGGGCGAAGGGGCGCCGGAAAGCGAGACGCCCUAAGUCAAUAAGGGCCGUCUCGAUAGAGACCCGAGGGUCAACCGCUAUGGCGAAUAGAUCCGGGAAUCGAGCGGCCAGGGGGGGUCCCCUAACCAACAAUCGAACCAGAACAGGGUCGAGGACCCGGAGCCAACCGAGAUGGACGUGUCGAUGCGGAGCACGGGUAGUAGCUGAAUCACAGCCUGCCAGAACUGGGAGCCACCAGAACGCUGACAGAAAGCUAGAGGUUGGCCCCGAAGGUACUUAUUUUGGAUGAUGGUAAGCCAUAGUCCUCCCUCCCCAUUGGUGAUUCGCGAGAGCCAUCGGGUUAGGAGAGCAAUGUUCAUGCGCCGAGAAGACAAGAUCCCAAGUCCACCCUGGUGUUGGAAAUACGCCCUAGAGGCAAUAAUAAAAUGGUUAUUAUUAUAUUUCCUUGUUCAUGAUAAUUGUCUAUUGUUCAUGCUAUAAUUGUGUUAUCCGGAAAUCGUAAUACAUGUGUGAACACAUAGACCAUAACGUGUCCCUAGUGAGCCUCUAGUUGACUAGCUCGUUGAUCAAUAGAUGGUUACGGUUUCCUGACCAUGGACAUUGGAUGUCAUUGAUAACGGGAUCACAUCAUUAGGAGAAUGAUGUGAUGGACAAGACCCAAUCUUAAGCAUAGCACUAGAUCGUGUAGUUCGUUUGCUGAAGCUUUUCUAAUGUCAAGUAUCGUUUCCUUAGACCAUGAGAUCGUGCAACUCCCGGAUACCGUAGGAAUGCUUUGGGUGUACCAAACGUCACAACGUAACUGGGUGGCUAUAAAGGUGCACUACAGGUAUCUCCGAAAGUGUCUGUUGGGUUGGCUCGGAUCGAGACUGGGAUUUGUCACUCCGUAUGACGGAGAUGUAUCUCUGGGCCCACUCGGUAUUGCAUCAUCAUAAUGAGCUCAAUGUGACUAAGUAGUUAGUCAGGGGAUCAUGCAUUACGGAACGAGUAAAGUGACUUGCCGGUAACGAGAUUGAACGAGGUAUUGGGGUACCGACGAUCGAAUCUCAGGCAAGUAACGUACCGAUUGACAAAGGGAAUUGUAUACGGGAUUACUUGAAUCCUCGACAUCGUGGUUCAUCCGAUGAGAUCAUCGAGGAGCAUGUGGGAGCCAACAUGGGUAUCCAGAUCCCGCUGUUGGUUAUUGACCGGAGAGUCGUCUCGGUCAUGUCUGCGUGUCUCCCGAACACGUAGGGUCUACACAGUUAAGGUUCGGUGACGCUAGGGUUGUAGAGAUAUUAGUAUGCGGUAACCCGAAAGUUGUUCGGAGUCCCGGAUGAGAUCCCGGACAUCACGAGGAGUUCCGGAAUGGUCCGGAGGUAAAGAUUUGUAUAUAGGAAGUCCAGUUUCGGCCACCGGGAAAGUUUCAGGGGUCACCGGUAUUGUACCGGGACCACCGGAAGGGUCCCGGGGGUCCACCGGGUGGGGCCACCUAUCCCGGAGGGCCCCAUGGGCUGAAGUGGGAAGGGAACCAGCCCCUGGUGUGCUGGUGCGCCCCCCCCAUGGGCCUCCCCCUGCGCCUAGGGUUGGAAACCCUGGGGUUGGGGGGCGCCCCACCUGACUUGGGGGGCGCCCCACCUGACUUGGGGGGCAAGUCCCCCCUUGGCCGCCGCCCCCCUUGAGAUGGGAUCUCCAGGGGCCGGCGCCCCCCAGGGCCCCUAUAUAAAGAGGGGGGAGGGAGGGCUGUGCACCUAAGCCCCUGGCGCCUCCCUCUCCCCCCGUAACACCUUUCCCUCUCGCUGAGCUUGGCGAAGCCCUGCCGAGAUCCCCGCUGCUUCCACCACCACGCCGUCGUGCUGCUGUAUCUCCAUCAACCUCUCCUUCCCCCUUGCUGGAUCAAGAAGGAGGAGACGUCUCUCCCAACCGUACGUGUGUUGAACGCGGAGGUGCCGUCCGUUCAGCGCUAGGAUCAUCGGUGAUUUGGAUCACGACGAGUACGACUCCAUCAACCCCGUUCUUUUGAACGCUUCCGCUCGCGAUCUACAAGGGUAUGUAGAUGCACUCCUUCCCUCUCGUUGCUAGUAAACUCCAUAGAUUGAUCUUGGUGAUGCGUAGAAAAAUUUAAAUUUCUGCUACGAUCCCCAACAGUGGCAUCAUGAGCUAGGUCUAUGCGUAGUUUCUAUGCACGAGUAGAACACAAGUUGUUGUGGGCGUUGAUUUUGUCAAUUUACUUGCCGUUACUAGUCUUAUCUUGAUUCGGCGGCAUCAUGGGAUGAAGCGGCCCGGACCGACCUUACACGUACGCUUACGUGAGACAGGUUCCACCGACUGACAUGCACUAGUUGCAUAAGGUGGCUAGCGGGUGUCUGUCUCUCCCACUUUAGUCGGAUCGGAUUCGAUGAAAAGGGUCCUUAUGAAGGGUAAAUAGAAAUUGGCAUAUCACGUUGUGGUUUUGGCGUAGGUAAGAAUCGUUCUUGCUAGAAACCUAUAGCAGCCACGUAAAAGUUUGCAACAACAAUUAGAGGACGUCUAACUUGUUUUUGCAGCAAGUGUCAUGUGAUGUGAUAUGGCCAGAAGGAUGUGAUGAAUGAUAUAUGUGAUGUAUGAGAUUGAUCAUGUUCUUGUAAUAGGAAUCAUGACUUGCAUGUCGAUGAGUAUGACAACCGGCAGGAGCCAUAGGAGUUGUCUUAAUUUAUUUAUGACCUGCGUGUCAACUGGAACGUCAUGUAAUUACUUUACUUUAUUGCUAACCGUUAGCCAUAGUAGUAGAAGUAAUAGUUGGCGAGACAACUUCAUGAAGACACGAUGAUGGAGAUCAUGGUGUCAUGCCGGUGACGAUGAUGAACAUGGCGCCCCGAAGAUGGAGAUCAAAAGGAGCAAAAUGAUAUUGGCCAUAUCAUGUCACUAUUUGAUUGCAUGUGAUGUUUAUCAUGUUUUACAUCUUAUUUGCUUAGAACGACGGUAGCAUAAAUAAGAUGAUCCCUCGCUAAAAUUUCAAGAAAGUGUUCCCCCUAACUGUGCACCGUUGCGAAGGUUCGUUGUUCCGAAGCACCACGUGAUGAUCGGGUGUGAUAGGUUCUAACGUUCGCAUACAACGGGUGUAAGCCAGAUUUACACACGCAAUACACUUAGGUUGACUUGACGAGCCUAGCAUGUACAGACAUGGCCUCGGAACACAAGAGACCAAAAGGUCGAACAUGAGUCGUAUAGCAGAUACGAUCAACAUGAAGUUGUUCACCGAUGAUGACUAGUCCGUCUCACGUGAUGAUCGGACACGGCCUAGUUGACUCGGAUCAUGUAACACUUAGAUGACUAGAGGGAUGUCUGUCUGAGUGGGAGUUCGUUAAUAAUUUGAUUAGAUGAACUUUAUUAUCGUGAACUUAGUCUAAAAAUCUUUACAAUAUGUCUUGUAGAUCAAAUGGCCCACGCUAAUGUUGCCCUCAACUUCAACGCGUUCCUAGAGAAAACCAAGCUAAAAGACGAUGGUAGCAACUACACGGACUGGGUCCGUAACCUGAGGAUUAUCCUCAUAGCUGCCAAGAAAGCAUAUGUCCUUGAAGCACCGCUAGGUGAUGCACCUGUUUUCCCAACAACUCAAGACGUUCUGAACGCCUGCCAGUCGCGUAGUGAUGAUUACUCCCUGGUUCAGUGCGGCAUGCUUUACAGCUUAGAACCGGGGCUCCAAAAGCGUUUUGAGCAGCACAGAGCAUAUGAGAUGUUCCAAGAGCUGAAAAUGGUUUUCCAAGCUCAUGCCCGGGUCGAGAGAUAUGAAGUCUCCGACAAGUUCUACAGUUGUAAGAUGGAGGAGAAUAGUUCCGUCAGCGAGCACAUACUCAAAAUGUCUGGGUUGCACAACCGCUUGUCUCAGCUGGGAGUUAAUCUCUCGGAUGACACGGUCGUUGACAGAAUCCUUCAGUCGCUCCCACCUAGCUACAAGAGCUUUGUGAUGAACUUCAAUAUGCAGGGGAUGGAAAAGAGCAUUCCUGAGGUAUAUUCAAUGCUGAAAUCAGCGGAGGUGGAGAUCAAAAAGGAACAUCAAGUGUUGAUGGUGAAUAAAACCACUAAGUUCAAGAAAGGCAAGGGUAAGAAGAACUUCAAGAAAGACGGCAAGGGAGUUGCCGCGCCCGGUAAGCAAGCUGCCGGGAAGAAGACAAAGAAUGGACCUAAGCCUGAGACUGAGUGCUUUUAUUGCAAGGGAAACUGUCACUGGAAGCGGAACUGCCCCAAAUACUUAGCGGAUAAGAAGGCCGGCAAUACCAAAGGUAUAUGUGAUAUACAUGUUAUUUAUGUGUACCUAACCAGCGCUCGUAGUAGCUCCUGGGUAUUUGAUACCGGUGCGGUUGCUCAUAUUUGUAACUCAAAGCAGGAGCUGCGGAAUAAGCGGAGACUGGCGAAGGACGAGGUGACGAUGCGCGUCGGGAAUGGUUCCAAGGUCGAUGUGGUCGCCGUCGGCACGCUACCUCUACAUUUACCUACGGGAUUAGUUUUAAACCUCAAUAAUUGUUAUUUAGUGCCAGCUUUGAGCAUGAACAUUGUAUCUGGAUCUCGUUUAAUGCGAGAUGGCUACUCAUUUAAAUCCGAGAAUAAUGGUUGUUCUAUUUAUAUGAGAGAUAUGUUUUAUGGUCAUGCCCCGCUGGUCAAUGGUUUAUUCUUGAUGAAUCUCGAACGUGACGUUACACAUAUUCAUAGUGUGAAUGCCAAGAAAUGUAAGGUUGAUAAUGAUAGUCCCACAUACUUGUGGCACUGCCGCCUUGGUCACAUUGGUGUCAAACGCAUGAAGAAACUCCAUGCAGAUGGACUUUUGGAGUCUCUUGAUUAUGAAUCAUUUGACAUGUGCGAACCAUGCCUCAUGGGCAAAAUGACCAAGACUCCGUUCUCCGGAACAAUGGAGCGAGCAACCAACUUAUUGGAAAUCAUACAUACUGAUGUGUGCGGUCCAAUGAGCGUUGAGGCUCGCGAUGGCUAUCGUUAUGUUCUCACCCUCACUGAUGACUUGAGUAGAUAUGGGUAUGUCUACUUAAUGAAACACAAGUCUGAGACCUUUGAAAAGUUCAAGGAAUUUCAGAGUGAGGUUGAGAAUCAACCUGAUAGGAAAAUAAAGUUCUUACUAUCAGAUCGUGGAGGGGAAUAUUUGAGUCACGAAUUUGGCACACACUUAAGGAAAUGUGGAAUUGUUCCACAACUCACGCCGCCUGGAACACCUCAGCACAAUGGUGUGUCCGAACGUCGUAAUCGCACUCUAUUGGAUAUGGUGCAAUCUAUGAUGUCACUUACCGAUCUACCGCUAUCAUUCUGGGGUUAUGCUUUAGAGACUGCCGCAUUCACUUUAAAUAGGGCUCCGUCGAAAUCCGUUGAGACGACACCGUAUGAAUUAUGGUUUGGAAAGAAACCUAAGCUAUCGUUUCUUAAAGUUUGGGGAUGCGAUGCUUAUGUCAAUAAACUUCAACCUGAAAAGCUCGAACCCAAGUCGGAAAAAUGCAUCUUCAUAGGAUACCCUAAGGAAACCAUUGGGUAUACCUUCUACCUCAGAUCCGAAGGCAAGAUCUUCGUUGCCAAGAACGGGUCCUUUCUGGAGAAAGAGUUUCUCUCGAAAGAAGUAAGUGGGAGGAAAGUGGAACUUGAUGAGAUGACCCCUCUCGAACCGGAAAGUAGUGCAGCACAAGAAAAUGUUUCUGUGGUGCCUGCACCGACUAGAGAGGAAGUUAAUGAUGACGAUCAUGAUCAAGUUACCACUGAACUUCGUAGGUCCACAAGGACACGUUCCGCACCAGAGUGGUACGGCAACCCUGUCCUGGAAAUCAUGUUGUUGGACAACGGUGAACCUUCGAACUAUGAAAAAGCAAUGGCGGGUCCAGAUUCCAACAAAUGGCUUGAAGCCAUGCAAUCCGAGAUAGGAUCCAUGUAUGAAAACAAAGUGUGGACUUUGACAGACUUGCCCGAUGAUCGGCGAGCGAUAGAAAAUAAAUGGAUCUUUAAGAAGAAGACGGACGCGGAUGGAAAUGUUACCAUCUAUAAAGCUCGACUUGUCGCUAAGGGUUAUCGACAAGUUCAAGGAGUUGACUACGAUGAGACCUUCUCACCCGUAGCGAAGCUGAAGUCCGUCCGAAUCAUGUUAGCAAUUGCCGCAUUCUACGAUUAUGAAAUAUGGCAAAUGGACAUCAAAACGGCAUUCCUUAACGGCUUCCUUAAGGAAGAAUUGUAUAUGAUGCAGCUGGAAGGUUUUGUCGAUCCUAAGAAUGCUGACAAAGUAUGCAAGCUCUAGCGCUCAAUCUAUGGGCUGGUGCAGGCAUCUCGGAGUUGGAACAUUCGCUUUGAUGAGAUGAUCAAAGCGUUUGGGUUUACACAGACUUAUGGAGAAGCCUGUGCUUACAAGAAUGUGAGUGGGAGCUCUGUAGCAUUUCUCAUAUUAUAUGUGGAUGACAUACUAUUGAUGGGAAAUGAUAUAGAUUUCUUGGAAAGUAUAAAGGCCUACUUGAAUAAGUGUUUUUCAAUGAAGGACCUCGGAGAAGCUGCUUACAUAUUAGGCAUCAAGAUCUAUAGAGAUAGAUCGAGACGCCUCAUAGGUCUUUCACAAAGCACAUACCUUGACAAGAUAUUGAAGAAGUUCAAUAUGGAUCAGUCCAAGAAGGGGUUCUUGCCUGUAUUGCAAGGUGUGAGAUUGAGGACGGCUCAAUGCCCGACCACGGCAGAAGAUAGAGAAAAGAUGAGUGUCGUCCCCUAUGCCUCGGCCAUAGGAUCUAUUAUGUAUGCCAUGCUGUGUACCAGACCUGAUGUAAACCUUGCCGUGAGUUUGGUAGGAAGGUACCAAAGUAAUCCCGGCAUGGAACACUGGACAGCGGUCAAGAACAUCCUGAAGUACCUGAAAAGGACUAAGGAUAUGUUUCUCGUUUAUGGAGGUGACGAAGAGCUCGUCGUAAAGGGUUACAUCGAUGCUAGCUUCGACAUAGAUCUGGAUGACUCUAAGUCACAAACCGGAUACGUGUAUAUUUUGAAUGUCGGGGCAGUCAGCUGGUGCAGUUGCAAGCAAAGCGUCGUGGCGGGAUCUACAUGUGCAGCGGAGUACAUGGCAGCCUCGGAGGCAGCACAUGAAGCAAUCUGGAUGAAGGAGUUCAUUGCCGACCUAGGAGUUAUUCCCAAUGCAUCGGGGCCGAUGACUCUCUUCUGUGACAACACUGGAGCUAUUGCCCUUGCCAAGGAGCCCAGGUUUCACAAGAAGACCAGGCACAUCAAGCGUCGCUUCAACUCCAUUUGUGAAAAUGUUCAAAAUGGAGACAUAGAUAUUUGUAAAGUACAUACGGAUUUGAAUGUCGCAGAUCCGUUGACUAAACCUCUUCCACGGGCAAAACAUGAUCAACACCAGAACUCUAUGGGUGUACGAUUCAUCACAAUGUAACUAGAUUAUUGACUCUAGUGCAAGUGGGAGACUGUUGGAAAUAUGCCCUAGAGGCAAUAAUAAAAUGGUUAUUAUUAUAUUUCCUUGUUCAUAAUAAUUGUCUAUUGAUCAUGCUAUAAUUGUGUUAUCCGGAAAUCGUAAUACAUGUGUGAACACAUAGACCAUAACGUGUCCCUAGUGAGCCUCUAGUUGACUAGCUCGUUGAUCAAUAGAUGGUUACGGUUUCCUGACCAUGGACAUUGGAUGUCAUUGAUAACGGGAUCACAUCAUUAGGAGAAUGAUGUGAUGGACAAGACCCAAUCCUAAGCAUAGCAGUAGAUCGUGUAGUUCGUUUGCUGAAGCUUUUCUAAUGUCAAGUAUCGUUUCCUUAGACCAUGAGAUCGUGCAACUCCCGGAUACCGUAGGAAUGCUUUGGGUGUACCAAACGUCACAACGUAAUUGGGUGGCUAUAAAGGUGCACUACAGGUAUCUCCGAAAGUGUCUGUUGGGUUGGCUCGGAUCGAGACUGGGAUUUGUCACUCCGUAUGACGGAGAGGUAUCUCUGGGCCCACUCGGUAUUGCAUCAUCAUAAUGAGCUCAAUGUGACUAAGUAGUUAGUCACGGGAUCAUGCAUUACGGAACGAGUAAAGUGACUUGCCGGUAACGAGAUUGAACGAGGUAUUGGGGUACCGACGAUCGAAUCUUGGGCAAGUAACGUACCGAUUGACAAAGGGAAUUGUAUACGGGAUUACUUGAAUCCUCGACAUCGUGGUUCAUCCGAUGAGAUCAUCGAGGAGCAUGUGGGAGCCAACAUGGGUAUCCAGAUCCCGCUGUUGGUUAUUGACCGGAGAGUCGUCUCGGUCAUGUCUGCGUGUCUCCCAAACAUGUAGGGUCUACACAGUUAAGGUUCGGUGACGCUAGGGUUGUAGAGAUAUUAGUAUGCGGUAACCCGAAAGUUGUUCGGAGUCCCAGAUGAGAUCCCGGACAUCACGAGGAGUUCCGGAAUGGUCCGGAGGUAAAGAUUUGUAUAUAGGAAGUCCAGUUUCGGCCACCGGGAAAGUUUCGGGGGUCACCGGUAUUGUACCGGGACCACCGGAAGGGUCCCGGGGGUCCACCGGGUGGGGCCACCUAUCCCGGAGGGCCCCAUGGGCUGAAGUGGGAAGGGAACCAGCCCCUGGUGGGAUGGUGCGCCCCCCCAUGGGCCUCCCCCUGCGCCUAGGGUUGGAAACCCUGGGGGUGGGGGCGCCCCACCUGACUUGGGGGGCAAGUCCCCCUUGGCCGCCCCCCCCCCUUGAGAUGGGAUCUCCAGGGGCCGGCGCCCCCCCCCAGGGCCCCUAUAUAAAGAGGGGGGAGGGAGGGCUGCGCACCCAAGCCCCUGGCGCCUCCCUCUCCCCCCGUAACACCUUUCCCUCUCGCUGAGCUUGGCGAAGCCCUGCCGAGAUCCCCGCUGCUUCCACCACCACGCCGUCGUGCUGCUGGAUCUCCAUCAACCUCUCCUUCCCCCUUGCUGGAUCAAGAAGGAGGAGACGUCUCUCCCAACCGUACGUGUGUUGAACUUGGAGGUGCCGUCCGUUCGGCGCUAGGAUCAUCGGUGAUUUGGAUCACGACGAGUACGACUCCAUCAACCACGUUCUCUUGAACGCUUCCGCUCGCGAUCUACAAGGGUAUGUAGAUGCACUCCUUCCCUCUCAUUGCUAGUAAACUCCAUAGAUUGAUCUUGGUGAUGCGUAGAAAAUUUUAAAUUUCUGCUACGAUCCCCAACACCUGGUCCUUGGGUUUGCAAAUGUCGGGCCAGCUCACCAUAUGGUAUUUCUGCUUGUCACCCUUGCCUGCCCAGAUAAACCUGGACUGGUAUUUGGCGAUCUCCUGAUGGAGCGUCUCAUGAAGGUUGUAGAAGCUCAUGAGAAAUCAGAGUACGCUGGCAAGCGAGGAGUUGAUGAGGAUUGCCCGGGCCGCCUUCGAGAGCCACCUCCCCUUCCAGGGCUUUACUCGGUGCUGCAUCCGGGUCACUGUCGGGCAGAGGUCAGCCACGGUGAGUUGCGAGUCACUAAUGGGUAUCCCCAAAUAAGUCGUGGGGGAAGUACCCAGGCGACAGUUCAGUCGGUCAGCUAUGGCCUGGGCCUCCUCUGGGGGAUAGCCAAGGAUCAUCACUUCGCUCUUUAUCAAAGUUGAUUGUGAGCCCUGACAUCUGUUGGAAGCAUAGGAGGAGGAACUUCAGGUUGGCUAUGUUGGACGCGGAGCCCUCCACCAUUAUUAUGGUAUCGUCUGCAUAUUGUAGGAGGGAGACCCCUCCCCCUCCUACCAGGUGAGGGACUAUGCCGUGGAUAUGGCCAGCAGAUUUGGCCUUAUCCAGGAUGACAGCGAGGGCAUCGACCACCAUGUUAAACAGAAACAGGGAGAACGGGUCGCCCUGGCGAACCCCACAGAGAGUGGAGAAGUAUGGCCCGAUCUCACCGUUAAUGUUAACCGCGGUCCGACCGCAGGAGACGAGCUGCAUAACUCUGGUCACCCACCGGUCAUUAAAACCCUUGCGGAGCAAGACUUCCCGAAGGAAGGGCCAGUGAACCGUAUCAAAGGCUUUAUGGAAUUCGAGCUUCAGGAAGACUACUCGAUGGUUCUUGGACCGGACUUCAUGAAGAACUUCGUGGAAGACCAAUACCCCAUCCAGAAUAAACCACCCUUGAAUGAAGGCAGAUUGGUUGGGGUGAGUGACGGUGUCAGCUAGAAGGGUCACCCUAUUGGCAUACCCUUUGGCCAAGAUCCGGAAUAUCACAUUGAUCACAGUGAUAGGCCGAAACUGGCGGAUGUCAGAAGCGCCCGGAACUUUGGGGAUGAGAGUGAUGACCCCAUAGUUUAGGCGCCCAAGGUCCAUGGCCCCCGAGAAGAAUUCGUCGAAGAGGGCCAUGACUUUCGGUUUGAUGGUCUGUCAGAACGUUUUGAAAAACGUCACUGGCAGUCCAUCCGGACCCGGGGCCGAGGAGGGGUUCAUACCCUUUAUGGUGCGAGGACCUCGUCCUCAGAGAAAGGCAACAUUUGCCUCGUCGGACACUAACUGGUUAGCCGACCAAGUGUCGGGGGCUAGUGUGGCCCCACCCCGAGGGGUGGGGGGAAAUAGGGCUUUAUAAAAGCCAUCUAUGUGGACUCGGAUGUCCGAGGGACGGACGAGCUGGGAAUCUCCAUCCCACAAGCAAUGGAUGGAGUUCCAUCGUCGCCUUCCAUUGGCGAUCGCCUGGAAGUAAGCCGUAUUAGCGUCUCCACGGAGCACCCACCGUUGGGUGUCGCGGAGCCUCCAGUAUGCUUCUUCGUCCGUGUAGAUGGUCGAGAGCUGAUCCUCGAGAUCAUAUCUCAGCAUCCACUCAUCCAGGGAGAUCCCGGAAGUGUCAGCGCGGGUGUCCAGGGCUUGGAUGGCAGUCAGGAGGGCUUUCUUGCGUUCGCGGAGGUCUCGGCCAAGGUUCGUGCCCCACCCCUUCAUACAUUGGCGAGCGAGCUUGGCACAAAACUGCCACGAGUCAACGGCGGACAUGGAGCGGUGGGGAGAUGAGCGCGCGGCGAUCCACUUAGCCGCGACCGCCUCGAGGAAUCCCGCCUGGUUGAGCCAAAAGAGCUCAAACCGAAACCGCGGCGGGAUGAGGGGGCGCUCGUCGGCGGUGGAGAGGAGGAGAGGGACGUGGGCGGACCCGAUCUGGGUGAUCGCCGGCAGCGAGGCCAAGGGGCACCUAAGUUCCCAUUCCGGUGAAACUAGGACGCGAUCCAGGACGGAUCGCGUCGGGUCCGCUUGACGGUUUGUCCUGGUGAACCUGGCACCCGUCUGCUCUAGCUCGCGGAGGCCGAGCUCAGCGAUGCAAUCGUUGAACAGCUGCAUUCAGGGGAGGUUGAUCCGAUCAUUGUUCUUCUCAUCCGGGGAGCAGAUGAGGUUAAAGUCUCCUCCCACGACUAUAGGAAGGAGGGAUGCGGGGACCUUCUGUUGCUGCUCAACGAGGAAGGCCGGGGAGCGACGGUGAUCCGCCGGUCCAUAGACGAUCAUGACCUCCCAUUUGAAGUUGAGCACCCGUUCAAAGAUCUCCAUACUAAUGAAGAAUCCGCCCCGGUCCAUACCGCCCACCUCAAAGGUGGCAUCCUUCACUCCUAAAAGGAUGCCACCCGAGUGCCCAGUGGUCCCACUAGAAGGGAGCCAAGGCCAGGCAAAUAGGUGAGGGCUAAGACUAUCAAGCUCGGGUAGGGAAAACUCCGUAUGCAUGGUUUCCUGGAUGGCAAUGAUGUCAAUGUGCUCGUCUCGCAUGUACUCAAUGAGUUGGCGGCGACGGCCGCCAUGGCCGAAGCUGCGGAUGUUCCAGAAGAGGACUCACAUUUAAACCUCCAUCGGGAGCUGCUUGACCCCAGGACACGGGAGGCGCUCUGCGCCCGGAGGGCCGCAGUACGAGAGCGGGUGCGCCCACGGAUCAACUCUUCGGGCAUCGUCGGAACCACCACCGUCGAAGGGGUGGCGAUCGGUUCCGCGGGUUGGCGGCGGAGGCGCGCCCGUGUUUCAGCAAGUUUGCCAUCUAGGAUCUCGCGGGCCCGAAUGGCCUUGAUCUGCUCUAAGGGGGGUCCAACUUCCCCCCUGAAGACGAUGGCCGAGUCAGUGGCCACCCUGGCGAGGUGGCCAAAGGGAACGGCCUCGAGCGCGGAAAAGGAACAACUGAAGGAAAUAUGCCCUAGAGGCAAUAAUAAAGUUAUUAUUUAUUUCCUUUUAUCAUGAUAAAUGUUUAUUAUUCAUGCUAGAAUUGUAUUAACCGGAAACAUGAUACAUGUGUGAAUACAUAGACAAACAGAGUGUCAUUAGUAUGCCUCUACUUGACUAGCUCGUUGAUCAAAGAUGGUUAUGUUUCCUAGCCAUAGACAAAGAGUUGUCAUUUGAUUAACAGGAUCACAUCAUUAGGAGAAUGAUGUAAUUGACUCGACCCAUUCCAUUAGCUUAGCACUCGAUCGUUUAGUAUGUUGCUAUUGCUUUCUUCAUGACUUAUACAUGUUCCUAUGACUAUGAGAUUAUGCAACUCCCGUUUACCGGAGGAACACUUUGUGUGCUACCAAACGUCACAACGUAACUGGGUGAUUAUAAAGGUGCUCUACAGGUGUCUCCGAAGGUACUUGUUGGGUUGGCGUAUUUUGAGAUUAGGAUUUGUCACUCCAAUUGUCGGAGAGGUAUCUCUGGGCCCACUCGGUAAUGCACAUCACUUAAGCCUUGCAAGCAUUGCAACUAAUGAGUUAGUUGCGGGAUGAUGUAUUACGGAACGAGUAAAGAGACUUGCCGGUAACGAGAUUGAACAAGGUAUUGAGAUACCGACGAUCGAAUCUCGGGCAAGUAACAUACCGAUGACAAAGGGAACAACAUAUGUUGUUAUGCGGUUUGACCGAUAAAGAUCUUCGUAGAAUAUGUGGGAGCUAAUAUGAGCAUCCAGGUUCCUCUAUUGGUUAUUGACCGGAGACGUGUCUCGGUCAUGUCUACAUAGUUCUCGAACCCGUAGGGUCCGCACGCUUAAAGUUCGAUGACGGUUAUAUUAUGAGUUUAUGUGUUUUGAUGUACCGAAGGUUGUUCGGAGUCCCGGAUGUGAUCACGGACAUGACGAGGAGUCUCGAAAUGGUCGAGACGUAAAGAUCGAUAUAUUGGACGACUAUGUUUGGACACCGAAAUGGUUCCGGGAGGUUUUGGACAUUUAUCGGAGUACCGGGGGUUACCGGACCCCCCCCCCCCCCGGAAGCUAUUGGGCCUUAUGGGCCUUAGUGGAAAGGAGAGAGGGAGGCCAGGAGGUGGCGCGCGACCUCCCUUGCCCCAAUCCAAAUUGGGAAAGGGAAGGUGGCGGCGGCCCCCCCUUCUCCUUCCUUCUCUCCACCUCCUCCUUCCCCCUUCUCCUACUUGGAAUAGGAAAGGGGGGCCAAACCUACUUGGAGUAGGAUUGCCUCCCCCCUUGGCCGGCCCUCUCCUCCUCCCCCUUUAUAUACGGAGGAGAGGCGCACCCCAUAGACACGACAAUUGAUCUCUUGGAUCUUUUAGCCAUGUGCGGUGCCCCUCUCCACCAUAGUCCACCUCGAUAAUAUCGUAGCGGUGCUUAGGCGAAGCCCUGCGUCGGUAGAACAUCAUCAUCGUCACCACACCGUCGUGCUGACGGAACUCUCCCUCAAAGCUCGGCUGGAUCGGAGUUCGAGGGACGUCAUCGAGUUGAACGUGUGCAGAACUCGGAGGUGUCGUGCGUUUGGUACUUGAUCGGUCGGAUCGUGAAGACGUACGACUACAUCAACCGCGUUGUGCUAACGCUUCCGCUUUCGGUCUACGAGGGUACGUGGACACACUCUCCCCUCUCGUUGCUAUGCAUCACCAUGAUCUUGCGUGUGCGUAGGAUUUUUUUGAAAUUACUACGUUCCCCAACAGUGGCAUCCGAGCCAGGUUUUAUGCGUUGAUGUUAUAUGCACGAGUAGAACACAAGUGAGUUGUGGGUGAUACAAGUCAUACUGCUUACCAGCAUGUCACACUUUGGUUCGGCGGUAUUGUUGGAUGAAGCGGCCCGGACCGACAUUACGCGUACGCUUACGCGAGACUGGUUCUACCGACGUGCUGUGCACACAGGUGGCUGGCGGGUGUCAGUUUCUCCAACUUUAGUUGAACCGAGUGUGGCUACGCCCAGUCCUUGAGAAGGUUAAAACAACACUAACUUGAUGAACUGUCGUUGUGGUUUUGAUGCGUAGGUAAGAAUGGUUCUUGCUCAGCCCGUAGCAGCCACGUAAAACUUGCAACAACAAAGGAGAGGACGUCUAACUUGUUUUUGCAGGGCAUGUUGUGAUGUGAUAUGGUCAAGGCAUGAUGCUAUAUUCUAUUGUAUGAGAUGAUCAUGUUUUGUAACCGAGUUAUCGGGAACUGGCAUGAGCCAUAUGGUUGUUGCAUUAUUGUAUGCAAUGCAAUCGCCCUAUAAUUGCUUUACUUUAUCACUAAGCAGUAGCAAUAGUCGUAGAAGCAAUAGUUGGCGAGACAAGAACGAUGCUACGAUGGAGAUCAAGGUGUCGCGCCGGUGACGAUGGUGAUCAUGACGGUGCUUCGGAGAUGGAGAUCACAAGCACAAGAUGAUGAUGGCCAUAUCAUAUCACUUACAUUGAUUGCAUGUGAUGUUUAUCUUUUUAUGCAUCUUAUCUUGCUUUGAUUGACAGUAGCAUUAUAAGAUGAUCUCUCACUAAAUUUCAAGAUAAAAGUGUUCUCCGUGAGUAUGCACCGUUGCCAAAGUUCGUCAUGCCCAGACACCACGUGAUGAUCGGGUGUGAUAAGCUCUACGUCCAUCUACAACAGGUGCAAGCCAGUUUUGCACACGCAGAAUACUCAGGUUAAACUUGACGAGCCUAGCAUAUGCAGAUAUGGCCUCGAAACACUGAGACCGAAAGGUCGAGCAUGAAUCAUAUAGUAGAUAUGAUCAACAUAGUGAUGUUCACCAUUGAAAACUACUCCAUUUCACCUGAUGAUCGGUUAUGGUUUAGUUGAUUUGGAUCACAUGAUCACUUAGAUGAUUAGAGGGAUGUAUAUCUAAGUGGGAGUUCUUAAGUAAUAUGAUUAAUUGAAGUUAAAUUUAUCAUCAACGUAGUACCUGAUAGUAUUUUGCAUGUCUAUGUUUGUUGUAGAUAGAUGGCUCGUGCUGUUGUUCCGUUGAAUUUUAAUGCGUUCCUUGAGAAAGCAAAGUUGAAAGAUGAUGGUAGCAAUUACACGGACUGGGUCCGUAACUUGAGGAUUAUCCUCAUUGCUGCACAGAAGAAUUACGUCCUGGAAACACCGCUAGGUGCCAAACCUGCUGCAGGAGCAACACCAGAUGUUAUGAACGUCUGGCAGAGCAAAGCUGAUGACUACUCGAUAGUUCAGUGUGCCAUGCUUUACGGCUUAGAACCGGGACUUCAACGACGUUUUGAACGUCAUGGAGCAUAUGAGAUGUUCCAGGAGUUGAAGUUAAUAUUUCAAGCAAAUGCCCGGAUUGAGAGAUAUGAAGUCUCCAAUAAGUUCUACAGCUGCAAGAUGGAGGAGAAUAGUUCUGUCAGUCAGCAUAUACUCAGAAUGUCUGGGUAUAACAAUCACUUGAUUCAACUGGGAGUUAAUCUUCCGAAUGAUAGCGUCAUUGACAGAAUUCUUCAAUCACUGCCACCAAGCUACAAGAGCUUCGUGAUGAACUAUAACAUGCAAGGGAUGGAUAAGAUGAUUCCCGAGCUCUUCGCCAUGCUAAAGGCUGCGGAGGUAGAAAUCAAGAAGCAGCAUCAAGUGUUGAUGGUCAAUAAGACCACCAGUUUCAAGAAAAAGGGCAAAGGGAAGAAGAAGGGGAACUUCAAGAAGAGCAACAAACAAGUUGCUGCUCAAGAGAAGAAACCCAAGUCUGGACCUAAGCCUGAGACUGAGUGCUUCUACUGCUAGCAGACUGGUCACUUGAAGCGGAACUGCUCCAAGUAUUUGGCGGAUAAGAAGGAUGGCAAGGUGAACAAAGGUAUAUGUGAUAUACAUGUUAUUGAUGUGUACCUUACCAGAGCUCGCAAUAGCGCCUGGGUAUUUGAUACUGGUUCUGUUGCUAAUAUUUGCAAAUCGAAACAGGGACUACGGAUUAAGCGGACACUGGCUAAGGACGAGGUGACGAUGCGCGUGGGAAACGGUUCCAAAGUCGAUGUGAUCGCCAUAGGCACGCUACCUCUACAUCUACCUUCGGGAUUAGUAUUAGACCUAAAUAAUUGUUAUUUGGUGCCAACGUUGAGCAUGAACAUUAUAUCUGGAUCUUGUUUGAUGCGAGACGGUUAUUCAUUUAAAUCAGAGAAUAAUGGUUGUUCUAUUUAUAUGAGUAAUAUCUUUUAUGGUCAUGCACCCUUGAAGAGUGGUCUAUUUUUGAUGAAUCUCGAUAGUAGUGAUACACAUAUUCAUAAUGUUGAAGCCAAAAGAUGCAGAGUUGAUAAUGAUAGUGCAACUUAUUUGUGGCACUGUUGUUUGGGUCAUAUUGGUGUAAAGCGCAUGAAGAAACUCCAUACUGAUGGACUUUUGGAAUCACUUGAUUAUGAAUCACUUGGUACUUGCGAACCAUGCCUCAUGGGCAAGAUGACUAAAACGCCGUUCUCCGGAACUAUGGAGCGAGCAACUGAUUUAUUGGAGAUCAUACAUACUGAUGUAUGUGGUCCAAUGAAUGUUGAGGCUCGCGGCGGGUAUCGUUAUUUUCUCACCUUCACAGACGAUUUAAGCAGAUAUGGGUAUAUCUACUUAAUGAAACAUAAGUCUGAAACAUUUGAAAAGUUCAAAGAAUUUCAGAGUGAAGUUGAAAAUCAUCGUAACAAGAAAAUAAAGUUUCUGCGAUCUGAUCGUGGAGGAGAAUAUUUGAGUUACGAGUUUGGUCUACAUUUGAAACAAUGCGGAAUAGUUUCGCAACUCACGCCACCCGGAACACCACAGCGUAAUGGUGUGUCCGAACGUCAUAGUCGUACUUUACUAGAUAUGGUGUGAUCUAUGAUGUCUCGUACUGAUUUACCGCUAUCAUUUUGGGGUUAUGCUUUAGAGACGGCCGCAUUCACGUUAAAUAGGGCACCAUCAAAAUCCGUUGAAACGACGCCUUAUGAACUGUGGUUUGGCAAGAAACCAAAGUUGCCGUUUCUUAAAGUUUGGGGCUGCGAUGCUUAUGUGAAAAAGCUUCAACCUGAUAAGCUCGAACCCAAAUCGAAGAAAUGUGUCUUCAUAGGAUACCCAAAGGAAACUGUUGGGUACACCUUCUAUCACAGAUCCGAAGGCAAGACAUUCGUUGCAAAGAAUGGAUCCUUUCUAGAGAAGGAGUUUCUCUCGAAAGAAGUGAGUGGGAGGAAAGUAGAACUUGAUGAGGUAACAGAACCUGCUCCCUUAUUGGAAAGUAGUUCAUCACAGAAACCGGUUCCUAUGACGUCUACACCAAUUAGUGAGGAAGUUAAUGAUGAUGAUCAUGAAACUUCAGAUCAAGUUGUCACUGAACCUCGUAGGUCAACCAGAGUAAGAUCCGCACCAGAGUGGUACGGUAAUCCUAUUCUGGAGGUCAGGUUACUAGACCAUGACGAACCUAUGAACAAUGAAGAAGCGAUGGUGAGCCCAGAUUCCGCAAAAUGGCUUGAGGCCAUGAAAUCUGAGAUGGGAUUCAUGUAUGAGAACAAAGUGUGGACUUUGGUUGACUUGCCCGAUGAUCGGCAGGCCAUCGAGAAUAAAUGGAUCUUCAAGAAGAAGACGGACGUUGAUGGUAAUGUUACUGUCUAUAAACAUCGACUUGUUGGAGAAGGUUUUCGACAAGUUCAAGGGGUUGACUACGAUGAGACUUUCUCACCCGUAGCGAUGCUUAAGUCUGUCCGAAUCAUGUUAGCAAUUGUCGCAUUUUAUGAUUAUGAAAUUUGGCAAAUGGAUGUCAAAAUUGCAUUCCUGAAUGGAUUUCUAGAAGAAGAAUUGUAUAUGAUGCAACCGGAAGGUUUUGUCGAUCCAAAGGGAGCUAACAAAGUGUGCAAGCUCCAGCGAUCCAUUUAUGGACUGGUGCAAGCCUCUCAGAGUUGGAAUAAACGUUUUGAUAGUGUGAUCAAAGCAUGUGGUUUUAUACAGACUUUUGGAGAAGCCUGUAUUUACAAGAAAGUGAGUGGGAGCUCUCUAGCAUUUCUGAUAUUAUAUGUGGAUGACAUAUUGUUGAUCGGAAAUGAUAUAGAAUUUCUGGAUAGCAUAAAGGGAUAUUUGAAUAAGAGUUUUUCAAUGAAGGACCUCGGUGAAGCUGCUUAUAUAUUGGGCAUCAAGAUCUAUAGAGAUAGAUCAAGACGCUUAAUUGGACUUUCACAAACCAAAUACCUUGACAAAGUUUUGAAGAAGUUCAAAAUGGAUCAAGCAAAGAAAGGGUUCUUGCCUGUGUUACAAGGUGUGAAGUUGAGUAAGACUCAAUGCCCGACCACUGCAGAAGAUAGAGAGAAAAUGAAAGAUGUUCCCUAUGCUUCAGCCAUAGGCUCUAUCAUGUAUGCAAUGUUGUGUACCAGACCUGAUGUGUGCCUUGCUAUUAGUUUAGCAGGGAGGUACCAAAGUAAUCCAGGAGUGGAUCACUGGACAACGGUCAAGUACAUCCUAAAAUACCUGAAAAGGACUAAGGAUAUGUUUCUCGUUUAUGGAGGUGACAAAGAGCUCGUCGUAAAUGGUUACGUCGAUGCAAGCUUUGACACUGAUCCGGACGAUUCUAAAUCGCAAACCGGAUACGUGUUUUUAUUGAACGGUGGAGCUUUCAGUUGGUGCAGUUCUAAACAAAGCGUCGUAGCGGGAUCUACAUGUGAAGCGGAGUACAUAGCUGUUCGGAAGCAGCAAACGAAGGAGUCUGGAUGAAGGAGUUCAUAUCCGAUCUAGGUGUCAUACCUAGUACAUCGGGUCCAAUGAAAAUCUUUUGUGACAAUACUGGUGCAAUUGCUUUAGCAAAGGAAUCCAGAUUUCACAAGAGAACCAAACACAUCAAGAGACGCUUCAACUCCAUCCGGGAUCAAGUCCAGGUGGGAGACAUAGAGAUUUACAAGAUACAGACGGAUCUGAAUGUUGCAGACCCGUUGGCUAAGCCUCUUCCACGAGCAAAACAUGAUCAGCACCAAGGCUCCAUGGGUGUUAGAAUCAUUACUGUGUAAUCUAGAUUAUUGACUCUAGUGCUAGUGGGAGACUGAAGGAAAUAUGCCCUAGCGGCAAUAAUAAAGUUAUUAUUUAUUUCCUUUUAUCAUGAUAAAUGUUUAUUAUUCAUGCUAGAAUUGUAUUAACCGGAAACAUGAUACAUGUGUGAAUACAUAGACAAACAGAGUGUCACUAGUAUGCCUCUACUUGACUAGCUUGUUGAUCAAAGAUGGUUAUGUUUCCUAGCCAUAGACAAAGAGUUGUCAUUUGAUUAACGGGAUCACAUCAUUAGGAGAAUGAUGUAAUUGACUUGACCCAUUCCGUUAGCUUAGCACUCGAUCGUUUAGUAUGUUGCUAUUGCUUUCUUCAUGACUUAUACAUGUUCCUAUGACUAUGAGAUUAUGCAACUCCCGUUUACCGGAGGAACACUUUGUGUGCUACCAAACGUCACAACGUAACUGGGUGAUUAUAAAGGUGCUCUACAGGUGUCUCCGAUAAAGAUCUUCGUAGAAUAUGUGGGAGCCAAUAUGAGCAUCCAGGUUCCGCUAUUGGUUAUUGACCGGAGACGUGUCUCGGUCAUGUCUACAUAGUUCUCGAACCCGUAGGGUCCGCACGCUUAAAGUUCGAUGACGGUUAUAUUAUGAGUUUAUGUGUUUUGAUGUACCGAAGGUUGUUCGGAGUCCCGGAUGUGAUCACGGACAUGACGAGGAGUCUCGAAAUGGUCGAGACGUAAAGAUCGAUAUAUUGGACGACUAUGUUUGGACACCGAAAUGGUUCCGGGAGGUUUCGGACAUUUAUCGGAGUACCGGGGGUUACCGGNNNNNNNNNNNNNNNNNNNNNNNNNNNNNNNNNNNNNNNNNNNNNNNNNNNNNNNNNNNNNNNNNNNNNNNNNNNNNNNNNNNNNNNNNNNNNNNNNNNNNNNNNNNNNNNNNNNNNNNNNNNNNNNNNNNNNNNNNNNNNNNNNNNNNNNNNNNNNNNNNNNNNNNNNNNNNNNNNNNNNNNNNNNNNNNNNNNNNNNNNAGCUAUUGGGCCUUAUGGGCCUUAGUGGAAAGGAGAGAGGGAGGCCAGGAGGUGGCGCGCGAACCCCCUUGCCCCAAUCCGAAUUGGGAAAGGGAAGGGGGCGGCGGCCCCCCCUUCUCCUUCCUUCUCUCCACCUCCUCCUUCCCCCUUCUCCUACUUGGAAUAGGAAAGGGGGGCCAUACCUACUUGGAGCAGGAUUGCCCCCCCCCUUGGGCGCGCCUCUCCCCUUGGCCGGCCCUCUCCUCCCCCCUUUAUAUACGGAGGAGAGGGGCACCCCAUAGACACAACAAUUGAUCUCUUGGAUCUUUUAGCCGUGUGCGGUGCCCCUCUCCACCAUAGUCCACCUCGAUAAUAUCCUAGCGGUGCUUAGGCGAAGCCCUGCGUCGGUAGAACAUCAUCAUCGUCACCAUGCCGUCGUCCUGACGGAACUCUCCCUCAAAGCUCGGCUGGAUCGGAGUUCGAGGGACGUCAUCGAGUUGAACGUGUGCAGAACUCGGAGGUGCCGUGCGUUCGGUACUUGAUCGGUCAGAUCGUGAAGACGUACGACUACAUCAACCGCGUUGUGGUAACGCUUCCGCUUUCGGUCUACGAGGGUACGUGGACACACUCUCCCCUCUCGUUGCUAUGCAUCACCAUGAUCUUGCGUGUGCGUAGGAAUUUUUUUGAAAUUACUACGUUCCCCAACAACAACUGGAAGAACUGGGGUGAUGGAGUCCGCACCUGGCUCGAGGUUCUUGGCCGCGCCCGAAGCUCAGCACGCUCGAGGACGGAUGGGGCUGGGGAGUCCGCCGGACAAGGCGCAUCGAGGCGGGCACUGCGGUGGGAGGCAGUCACGCGUCAAAGUGGAGCGAGGCCACCGGGCGUACGCCACUGUCCGUGGGGGGUGCGCAGUGAUAGGGGUGGUCACGACGUCGGGCACCCCCACGGCCAGUGGUCCUGGAGAGGCAAGUGGGUCGUUAGGGGCCACCAGAGGAGGAGGUAGGGCAGGGGGCUCCAGGGUGCCCCCGGCCGAAUCCUCUGCGGGUGGAGUAGGGGGAGUCGCCGUGAGCGGGUUACCACCGUCGCUGAUACGUCUCCGUCGUAUCUAUAAUUUUUGAUUGUUCCAUGCCAAUAUUAUUCAACUUUCAUAUACUUUUUGGCAACUUUUUAUACUAUUUUUGGGACUAACAUAUUGAUCCAGUGCCCAGUGCCAGUUCCUGUCUGUUGCAUGUUUUGGUUUCGCAGAAUAUCCAUAUCAAACGGAGUCCAAACGGGAUAAAACGGAUGGAGCUUAUUUUUGGAAUAUUUGGAAAAUCUGGGAGAAAGAUCAACGCGAAACGGUGUCCGAGGUGGGCACGAGGUAGGGGGGCGCGCCCCACCCCCCUCGGCACGCCCCUGACCCUCGUGGGCCACCCGUAAGGCGGUUGAUGCCGUUCUUCGGCCGCAAGAAAGCUAAUUUUUGGUAAAAAAAUCACGGCGAAGGUUUCAGUCCAAUCGGAGUUACGGAUCUCCAUAUAUACACGAAACGGUGAAAGGGCAGCAGACCAGAACGCAGAAACAGAGAGAAACAGAUAGACAGAUCCAAUCUCGGAGGGGCUCUCGCCCCUCCCACGCCAUGGAGGCCAAGGACCAGAGGGGAAACCCUUCUCCCAUCUAGGGAGGAGGUCAAGGAAGAAGAAGACGAAGGGGCCCCCUCUCCCCUUCUCUUCCGGUGGCGCCGGAACGCUGCCGUGGCCAUCAUUAUCACCGCAAUCUUCACCAACAACUUCACCGCCAUCAUCACCAACUCUUCCCCCCUCUAUGCAGCGGUGUAACCUCUCUCUUACCCGCUGUAAUCUCUACUUAAACAUGGUGCUCAACGCUAUAUAUUAUUUUCCAAUGAUGUAUGGCUAUCCUAUGAUGUUUGAGUAGAUUCGUUUUGUCCUAUGGGUUAUUUGAUGAUCAAGAUUGGUUUGAGUUGCAUGUUUUAUUAUUGGUGCUGUCCUAUGGUGCUCUCCGUGUCGUGCAAGCAUGAGGGAUUCCCGCUGUAGGGUUUGCAAUAUGUUCAUGAUUUGCUUAUGGUGGGUGGCGUGAGUGACAGAAGCACAGACCCGAGUAAGUAGGUUGUUUGCGUAUGGGAUAAAGAGGACUUGAUGCUCUAAUGCUAUGGUUGGGUUUUACCUUAAUGAUCUUUAGUAGUUGCGGAUGCUUGCUAGAGUUCCAAUCAUAAGUGCAUAUGAUCUAAGUAGAGAAAGUAUGUUAGCUUAUGCCUCUCCCUCAAAUAAAAUUGCAAUAAUGAUUACCGGUCUAGUUAUCGAUUGCCUAGGGACAAAUAACUUUCUCGUAAAAAAAAGCUCUCUACUAAAACUAUUAGUUGUGUCUUUAUCUAAACAUCCCCUAGCUUUUAUUUACGUGCUCUUUACUUUCUUGCAAGCCUAUCCGAAAACACCUACAAAGUACUUCUAGUUUCAUACUUGUUCUAGGUAAAGCGAACAUUAAGCGUGCGUAGAGUUGUAUCGGUGGUCGAUAGAACUUGAGGGAAUAUUUGUUCUACCUUUAGCUCCUUGUUGGGUUCGACACUCUUACUUAUCGAAAGAAGCUACAAUUGAUCCCCUAUACUUGUGGGUUAUCAAGACCUUUUUCUGGCGCCGUUGCCGGGGAGCAAUAGCGUGGGGUGAAUAUUCUCGUGUGUGCUUGUUUGCUUUAUCACUAAGUAAUUUUUAUUUGCUGUUCUUAGUUGUUUUCUAUCUUUAGUUAUGGGUAGGAAACGCAAAAUACCAAAAAAAUAGUUGUACCUACUGAACCAAUGGUUGAAGAACCACUCAAAAUCUAUCAUACUCCUGAAGCUUAUUAAUUGGAUCAUCUUUGAUCCCUAUGUGCUCGUGCUGAAACCCCAACUAGCUUAGUUGAGGGCAGAUCUUUAGAUGAGCAUGCUUGUUAUGUUCGACACCGCAUAUCUGAAAAAGGGGAAAUUUUACUGGGUCAAAUUCAUCGUUUGCAAUGCUAUGCUUGGAAUUUAUGUGAAAUAUAUGAUAUUACCUGUUGUUCUGAAAACCCUAAGACACACCUUCCCUAUCAAUGUGAGUUUAGUGAUAAUGGAAUCGUAUCUUCGUAUGCUAAGGGUGUUUAUAGUUACUAUGAUAUUCAACAAAUUGAAGAAUUUGUUGCUUUUAAGGGUGCUUAUAAAAUUGCUUUUUUGAUUGAAACGUAUGGUGCUACUCUUCACAAAUCUGAAAAUUUUGCCAUACUUAAAUAUUGCUAUGAUAAUUAUGCUUCUAAUGCUUAUGUUGAACCAUAUAUUGAGGGUUACCCCGCUGUCCAAGAAGAGACUAAUAUUUUGAAGGAGUCUAUGGAAGAAGAAGUUGAUGAAACUGUGAGCUCAUUGGAUGAAAAAGAUGAGGAGAAGAGCGAAGAACUAAAGGAGGAAGAGCGGAUUAGCUACCCGUGCCCACCUUCUAAUGAGAGUAACUCUUCAACUCAUACAUUGUUUAAUUUCCCUUCGUGCUUACCGAAGGAUGAUUGCUAUGAUGACUGCUAUGAUCCCGUUGAUUCUUUUGAAAUAUCCCUUUUUGACGAUGCUUGCUAUGCUUGUGGCCAAGAUGCCAAUAUGAAUUAUGCUUAUGGAGAUGAACUUGCUAUAGUUCCUUAUGUUAUGAAUGAAAUUGUUGCUAUUGCACCCACACAUGAUAGUCCUAUUAUCUUUUUGAAUUCUCCCGAUUAUACUAUAUCGGGGAAGUUUGCACUUAUUAAGGAUUAUAUUGAUGGGUUGCCUUUUACCGUUACACAUGAUGAUUUUGACAGAUAUAAUAUGCAUGUUCUUGCUGCUCCUACUCGCAAUUAUUAUGAGAGAGGACCUAUAUCUCCACCUCUCUAUGUUUCCAACACGAUAAAAUUGCAAGAAACUGUUUAUACUAUGCAUUGGCCUUUACUAUGUGUGCAUGAAUUGUUCUUUUAUGACAUGCUGAUGCAUAGGAAGAGAGUUAGACUUCGUCAUUACAUGAUAUAUAUUACUUUGUGCUCAAUACUAAAUUACAAAUCAUUGCUAAUUAAAAUUGGCUUUGAUAUACCUUGGGAUCCGGGUGGAUUCACUACUUGAGCACUUUAUGCCUAGCUUAAUGGCUUUAAAGAAAGUGCUGCCAGGGAGACAACCCGGAAGUUUUAGAGAGUCAUUUAUUUCUGUUGAGUGCUUUCAUAUAGUUUAAAAACAACAAAAAUAAAGAGGGGAACCCAAAACUUUUCAAAAAGGAAAGUGAAAGUGAGAAAGACAAGCAUUGUUGAAGUGGGAGAGCUCCUUGAACUUUGUUCAUGCUCACGGCAACUUUGUGAAUCUUGAUUACAGAAACUUUUCAACAAAAAUAAUUAUCCCCUUGUACAAUUCCAUUGUAUUAUAAAAAUAAUGUGCCAAGGUUUGCCUUUAGGAUGUUUACAAUACUUGUUGGUUUGUACGGUGCAGGACAGAAACUUUGGCUGUAGUGCGCGAUUUUAAUUUUUUACUGGAACAUCAAAUGGUUCUGAUUCUUUUUGCACUGUCUUUCUAUACAAAUUUUUUAUUUUUCCUAAUUUUGGCAGAAGUUUUCAAGUAUCAGAAGUAUGGUGAAUGUUCAGAUUAUUACAGACUGUUCUGUUUUAGACAGAUUCUGUUUUUGAUGCAUAGUUUGCUUGUUUUGAUGAAACUAUCAAUUUAUAUCAGUGGAUUAAGCCAUGAAAAAGUUAUAUUACAGUAGACACAAUGCAAAAGCAAAAUAUGAAUUGGUUUUCAACAGUACUCAGAGUAGUGAUUUACUUUAUUAUACUAACGGAUCUUACCGAGUUUUCUGUUGAAGUUUUGUGUGGAUGAAGUGUUCGAUGAUCGAGAAGGUUUCGAUGUGAGAAGAAGGAAGAGAGGCAAGAGCUCAAGCUUGGGGAUGCCCGAGGCACCCCAAGUAAAUAUUCAAGGAGACUCAAGCGUCUAAGCUUGGGGAUGCCCCAGAAGGCAUCCCCUCUUUCUUCAACAAAUAUCGGUAUGUUUUCGGAUUCGUUUCAUUCAUGUGAUAUGUGCAAAUCUUGAAGCGUCUUUCGCAUUUAGUUUUCACUUUUCUUUUAUGCACCAUGCUGGUAUGAGAUAGUCCUUGGUUGAUUUAUAGAAUGCUCAUUGCACUUCACUUAUAUUUUUUGAGUAUGGCUUUAUAGAAUGCUUCAUGUGCUUCACUUAUAUCAUUUGAAGCUUGGAUUGCCUGUUUCUCUUCACAUAGACAACCGCCAUUUGUAGAAUGCUCUUUUGCUUCACUUAUAUUUGUUAGAGCGUGGGCAUAUCUUUUGUAGAAAGAAUUAAACUCUCGUGCUUCACUUAUAUCUAUUUAGAGAGAUGACAGGAACUGGUCAUUCACAUGGUUAGUCAUAAAACCCUACAUAAAACUUGUAGAUCACUGAAUAUGAUAUGUUUGAUUCCUUGCAAUAGUUUUGCGAUAUAAAGAUGGUGAUAUUAGAGUCGUGCUAGUUGAGUAAUUGUGAAAUUGAGAAAUACUUGUGUUGAGGUUUGCAAGUCCCGUAGCAUGCACGCAUGGUGAACCGUUAUGUAACGAAGUUGGAGCAUGAGGUGUUUAUUGAUUGUCUUCCUUAUGAGUGGCGGUCGGGGACGAGCGAUGGUCUUUUCCUACCAAUCUAUCCCCCUAGGAGCAGGCGCGUAGUACUUUGUUUCGAUAGCUAAUAGACUUUUGCAAUAAGUAUGUGAGUUCUUUAUGACUAAUGUUGAGUCCAUGGAUUAUACGCACUCUCACCCUUCCAUCAUUGCUAGCCUCUUCGGUACCGUGCAUUGCCCUUUCUCACCUCGAGAGUUGGUGCAAACUUCGCCGGUGCAUCCAAACCCCGUGAUACGAUACGCUCUAUCACACACAAACCUCCUUAUAUCUUCCUCAAAACAGCCACCAUACCUACCUAUUAUGGCAUUUCCAUAGCCAUUCCGAGAUAUAUUGCCAUGCAACUUCCAUCAUCAUCAUAUACAUGACUUGAGCAUUUAUUGUCAUAUUGCUUUGCAUGAUCGUAAGAUAGCUAGCAUGAUGUUUUCAUGGCUUGUCCAUUUUUUGAUGUCAUUGCUACGCUAGAUCAUUGCACAUCCCGGUACACCGCCGGAGGCAUUCAUAUAGAGUCAUAUCUUUGUUCUACAUAUCGAGUUAUAAUAUUGAGUUGUAAGUAAAUAAAAGUGUGAUGAUCAUCAUUAUUAGAGCAUUGCCCCAGUGAGGAAAGGAUGAUGGAGACUAUGAUUCCCCCACAAGUCGGGAUGAGACUCCGGACGAAAAAAAUAAAAAAGAGAAGGCCCAAAAAAAGAGAAAAAAGGAGAGAAAACAAAAAAAAUGAGAGAAAAAGAGAGAAGGGGCAAUGUUACUAUCCUUUUACCACACUUGUGCUUCAAAGUAGCACCAUGUUCUUCAUAUAGAGAGUCUCUUGAGUUAUCACUUUCAUAUACUAGUGGGAAUUUUCAUUAUAGAACUUGGCUUGUAUAUUCCAACGAUGGGCUUCCAAAUGCCCUAGGUCUUCAUGAGCAAGCAAGUUGGAUGCACACCACUUAGUUUCAGUUUGAGCUUUCAUACACUUAUAGCUCUAGUGCAUCCAUUGCAUGGCAAUCCCUACUUAUCACAUUGACAUCAAUUGAUGGGCAUCUGCAUAGCCCGUUGAUUAGCCGCGUCGAUGUGAGACUUUCUCCUUUUUUAUAUUCUCCACAUAACCCCCAUCAUCAUAUUCUAUUCCACCUAUAGUGCUAUGUCCAUGGCUCAAGCUCAUGUAUUGUGUGAAAGUUGAAAAAGUUUGAGAAACGUCAAAAGUAUGAAACAAUUGCUUGGCUUGUCAUCGGGGUUGUGCAUGAUGUGAAUAUUUUGUGUGGUGAAGAUGGAGCAUAGCCAGACUAUAUGAUUUUGUAGGGAUGAGCUUUCUUUGGCUAUGUUAUUUCAAUAAGACAUAAUUACUUGGUUGGUAUGCUUGAAGUAUUAUUGUUUUUAUGUCAAAGGAUAGACUAUUGCUUUGAAUCACUCGUGUCUUAAUAUUCAUGCCAUGAUUAGAUUACAUGAUCAAGAUUAUGCUAGGUAGCAUUCCACAUCAAAAAUUAUCUUUUUAUCAUUUACCUACUCGAGGACGAGCAGGAAUUAAGCUUGGGGAUGCUGAUACGUCUCCGUCGUAUCUAUAAUUUUUGAUUGUUCCAUGCCAAUAUUAUUCAACUUUCAUAUACUUUUUGGCAACUUUUUAUACUAUUUUUGGGACUAACAUAUUGAUCCAGUGCCCAGUGCCAGUUCAUGUCUGUUGCAUGUUUUUGGUUUCGCAGAAUAUCCAUAUCAAACGGAGUCCAAACGGGAUAAACACAGACGGAGCUUAUUUUUGGAAUAUUUGGAAAAUCUGGGAGAAAGAUCAACGCGAAACGGUGUCCGAGGUGGGCACGAGGUAGUGGGGCGCGCCCCUGACCCUCGUGGGCCACCCGUAAGGCGAUUGAUGCCCUUCUUCGGCCGCAAGAAAGCUAAUUUUUGGUAAAAAAAUCACGGCGAAGGUUUCAGUCCAAUCGGAGUUACGGAUCUCCAUAUAUACACAAAAUGGUGAAAGGGCAGCUGACCAGAACGCAGAAACAGAGAGAAACAGAGAGACAAAUCCAAUCUCGGAGGGGCUCUCGCCCCUCCCACGCCAUGGAGGCCAAGGACCAGAGGGGAAACCCUUCUCCCAUCUAGGGAGGAGGUCAAGGAAGAAGAAGACGAAGGGCCCCCCUCUCCCCUUCUCUUCCGGUGGCGCCGGAACGCUGCCGUGGCCAUCAUCAUCACCGCAAUCUUCACCAACAACUUCACCGCCAUCAUCACCAACUCUUCCCCCCUCUAUGCAGCGGUGUAACCUCUCUCUUACCCACUGUAAUCUCUACUUAAACAUGGUGCUCAACGCUAUAUAUUAUUUUCCAAUGAUGUAUGGUUAUCCUAUGAUGUUUGAGUAGAUUCGUUUUGUCCUAUGGGUUAUUUGAUGAUCAAGAUUGGUUUGAGUUGCAUGUUUUAUUAUUGGUGCUAUCCUAUGGUGCUCUCCGUGUCGCACAAGCGUGAGGGAUUCCCGCUGUAGGGUUUGCAAUAUGUUCAUGAUUUGCUUAUGGUGGGUGGCGUGAGUGACAGAAGCACAGACCCGAGUAAGUAGGUUGUUUGCGUAUGGGAUAAAGAGGACUUGAUGCUCUAAUGCUAUGGUUGGGUUUUACCUUAAUGAUCUUUAGUAGUUGCGGAUGCUUGCUAGAGUUCCAAUCAUAAAUGCAUAUGAUCCAAGUAGAGAAAGUAUGUUAGCUUAUGCAUCUCCCUCAAAUAAAAUUGCAAUAAUGAUUACCGGUCUAGUUAUCGAUUGCCUAGGGACAAAUAACUUUCUCGUAACAAAAAGCUCUCUACUAAAACUAAUUUAGUUGUGUCUUUAUCUAUACAGCGCCUAGCUUUUAUUUACGUGCUCUUUACUUUCUUGCAAGCCUAUCCGAAAACACCUACAAAGCAUUUCUAGUUUCAUACUUGUUCUACGUAAAGCGAACGUUAAGCGUGCGUAGAGUUGUAUCGGUGGUCGAUAGAACUUGAGGGAAUAUUUGUUCUACCUUUAGCUCCUCGUUGGGUUCGACACUCUUACUUAUCGAAAGAGGCUACAAUUGAUCCCCUAUACUUGUGGGUUCUUAGUCGCUGCCCGUGGGAGCCGAGGAGAUCGGUCCAAGGGGGGUGAGGGCGGCGGGCUCAGCGGAGUCGGGUGCAGGACGGAGUCGGCGGACGGAGAGCGGGGCGACGAGGGCGGGAGGACGAGCAAGCCCACACUGGAGAUGUCACUGGUCGCCUCCGACGAGGAUGGAGAGGCCGGAGGAGGGGCGGCCAGCCGGAGAG